CGGCCCGCAAGGGUCAGUCGAGCGGCGAACGGGUGAGUAACGCGUGGAUAACCUGCCCAGAGGUGUGGAACAACCAGGGGAAACUCUGGCUAAUACCGCAUGAUACCGAGAGGUCAAAGGGGGCUCGCAAGGGCUCUCGCCACUGGAGGGGUCCGCGUCCGAUUAGCUAGUUGGUAGGGUAAUGGCCUACCAAGGCUACGAUCGGUAGCCGGCCUGAGAGGGUGAUCGGCCACACUGGAACUGAGACACGGUCCAGACUCCUACGGGAGGCAGCAGUGGGGAAUUUUGCGCAAUGGGCUAACGCCUGACGCAGCAACGCCGCGUGGAGGAUGAAGGUCUUUGGAUUGUAAACUCCUGUCGGCAGGGAAAAAGCAAUUCGGCCUAAUACGCCGGAGAGUUGAUUGUACCUGCGGAGGAAGCCCCGGCUAACUCUGUGCCAGCAGCCGCGGUAAUACAGAGGGGGCAAGCGUUAUUCGGAAUUAUUGGGCGUAAAGGGCGCGUAGGCGGCCUGGCAAGUGGAAGGUGAAAUCCCUCGGCUUAACCGAGGAACUGCCUUCCAAACUGCUUGGCUUGAGUCCGGGAGAGGUGAGUGGAAUUCCCAGUGUAGCGGUGAAAUGCGUAGAUAUUGGGAGGAACACCAGUGGCGAAGGCGGCUCACUGGACCGGAACUGACGCUGAUGCGCGAAAGCGUGGGGAGCAAACGGGAUUAGAUACCCCGGUAGUCCACGCCGUAAACGAUGAGUGCUUGGUGUAGCGGGUAUCGACCCCUGCUGUGCCGAAGUCAACACAUUAAGCACU
This 798-nucleotide ribosomal RNA is filed under the name uncultured Bacillota bacterium. Its description in RNAcentral is "bacterial SSU rRNA". It matches the Rfam family "Bacterial small subunit ribosomal RNA", at positions 73 to 868 of the family's 1533-position model. Lineage: Bacteria; Bacillati; Bacillota. The record is from RNAcentral.